RNAcentral lists this ribosomal RNA (292 nucleotides) under uncultured bacterium. RNAcentral's name for it is "partial 16S ribosomal RNA". The record is from RNAcentral.
GGACUACUCGGGUAUCUAAUCCUGUUUGCUCCCCACGCUGUCGCGCCUCAGUGUCAGCUACUGCCCAGCAGGCCGCCUUCGCCACCGGUGUUCUUCCGGAUCUCUACGCAUUCCACCGCUACACCCGGAAUUCCGCCUGCCUCUACAGUGCUCAAGCAAAACAGUUCGCACGGCCGACCCGGGGUUGAGCCCCAGGCUUUCACCGCACGCUUGUCCCGCCACCUACGCGCCCUUUACGCCCAAUGAUUCCGGACAACGCUCGCACCCUCCGUAUUACCGCGGCUGCUGGCAC